RNAcentral lists this ribosomal RNA (500 nucleotides) under uncultured bacterium. Its description in RNAcentral is "partial 16S ribosomal RNA". It matches the Rfam family "Bacterial small subunit ribosomal RNA", at positions 30 to 523 of the family's 1533-position model. The record is from RNAcentral.
AUUGAACGCUGGCGGAAUGCUUUACACAUGCAAGUCGAACGGCAGCACGGACUUCGGUCUGGUGGCGAGUGGCGAACGGGUGAGUAAUGUAUCGGAACGUGCCCAGUCGUGGGGGAUAACGUAGUGAAAAUUACGCUAAUACCGCAUACGAUCUAUGGAUGAAAGCGGGGGAUCGCAAGACCUCGCGCGAAUGGAGCGGCCGAUAUCGGAUUAGGUAGUUGGUGGGGUAAAGGCCCACCAAGCCAACGAUCUGUAGCUGGUCUGAGAGGACGACCACCCACACUGGAACUGAGACACGGUCCAGACUCCUACGGGAGGCAGCAGUGGGGAAUUUUGGACAAUGGGCGAAAGCCUGAUCCAGCCAUUCCGCGUGCAGGAUGAAGGCCCUCGGGUUGUAAACUGCUUUUGUACAGAACGAAAAGGUUUCUACUAAUACUAGGAGCUCAUGACGGUACUGUAAGAAUAAGCACCGGCUAACUACGUGCCAGCAGCCGCCGUAA